CACAAAAUUACUGAAAUGGGGCAUUUAAACCAAGCCAAGUUUUUCAAUGAAAAAGUUCAUGAUAUGGCAGCCUCUUUCCUUUGAAGAAUAGUCAGAAGGCUCAGAAUAGGUCAAUUUUAUAGAGGCAUGAUACUUUCCUAAAGAGGUAUGGACCGAUAUGAGGUUUUAAGCUUUUAUGCUACCUCUGUGUCUUGAAAACAUAGAAACAUUAAAUUUCCGACAAAGAAACAGAGGGACUGGGAGAACUUUUUUUGUUCUGAGUACAGAGUAGAACUGAAGUAAAUGUGAAACAAUGCCAGCGAAAAAUAGUCAAAAGGCCACUAAAGCAAGGAAAAGAAGCAAGGCAUAAUUCCAAGUUUUGGGGGACCACAGCUGUAUACUGAAGAUUACCAGGGGCCAUCAUGAAACAAGGUGCAUAUACUGCAGUUUACAUCUGGACCCUGAAGAACAUAUUUGUAUACAAUCCUGAGUAUCCCCUGAAAACCUGUUUUUAUGGAGAAACUUUAGAAGUGUUCAUUGAUUUGGGUCACCACGGGUCACCUCCUAAGGAGAGCAGAGGCUGAGAGGUAAGAGAGAAGCAGGUGUGUUACUUCAGAUGAAGACUCUCCACAGGGAAAUGGAAAGCCGGAGAAGCAGAAGCUUCCUGAAACAGUAGCUCAUAGAUUUAUGUGAAUCUGUUUGUCUUAAAAGUCAAUAUUUCCUGAGGUAAGCAUGUGGUCUCAACAUAAGUUCAGAAAUGUCUUUAAAACCUGAAAUGUUCUGGAAUUCAGAAUUUCUUUAGAGAAAAUAA
RNAcentral lists this long non-coding RNA (790 nucleotides) under Macaca mulatta (Rhesus monkey). Its description in RNAcentral is "lncRNA (ENSMMUG00000057635.1)". The record is from RNAcentral. Lineage: Eukaryota; Metazoa; Chordata; Mammalia; Primates; Cercopithecidae.